AAGCUGGGCCAACAGAUAGAUAGCUGUAGUCACCCGUAACGUGAGAGUAGUGUUAGACAGUAUACUGUUGUGACCCACUAACGCAUUAAGUCUCCCCCCGGGGAGUACGGUCGCAAGAUAAAACUCAAAAGAAUUGACGGGGGCCCGCACAACGGUUGGAGCAUGUGGUUAAUUCGAAGCAACGCGCAGAACCGUACCAACCGGGGACAUACCUGUCGCGGUUACCAGAGAUGGUUCCUUCAGUUCGGCUGGACAGGAUACAGGUGUUGCAUGGCUGUCGUCAGCUCGUGUCGUGAGAUGUUGGGUUAAGUCCCGCAACGAGCGCAACCCUCGCCUUUAGUUGCCAUCAUUUAGUUGGGCACUCUAGAGGGACUGCCGGUGAUAAGCCGGAGGAAGGUGGGGAUGACGUCAAGUCCUCAUGGCCCUUAUGGGUUGGGCUACACACGUGCUACAAUGGCGGCGACAGAGGGCAGCGACCCCGCAAGGGUGAGCUAAUCCUCAAAAGCCGUCUCAGUUCGGAUUGUUCUCUGCAACUCGAGAGCAUGAAGGUGGAAUCGCUAGUAAUCGCAGAACAGCAUGCUGCGGUGAAUACGUUCCCGGGCCUUGUACACACCGCCCGUCACAUCAUGGGAGUUGGCUUUACCCGAAGGUGGUGCGCUAACCUAGCAAUAGGAGGCAGCCAACCACGGUGAGGUCAGCGACUGGGAUGAAGUCGUAACAAGGUAGCCCUAGGGGAACCUGGGGCUG
Molecule: ribosomal RNA, 747 nt
Filed under: metagenome
Description: bacterial SSU rRNA
Rfam family: Bacterial small subunit ribosomal RNA
Source: RNAcentral